CUGGUUCAAUCCCAGUAUCGCGCACUGCCUGUGACUCACGGGUCACAGCCCGCGGACGAUUAGCUCAGCGGG
This 72-nucleotide transfer RNA is filed under the name Streptomyces hygroscopicus subsp. jinggangensis TL01. RNAcentral describes it as "tRNA-Val". The record is from RNAcentral. Lineage: Bacteria; Bacillati; Actinomycetota; Actinomycetes; Kitasatosporales; Streptomycetaceae.